Acanthosepion pharaonis is the source of this 99-nucleotide non-coding RNA. The record is from the annotation of a GenBank genome assembly. NCBI's taxonomy places the organism in Eukaryota, Metazoa, Mollusca, Cephalopoda, Sepiida, Sepiidae.
AUUGAAACGUCAGUUCCAGUACAAUCACCGAAGUUAAGCAACAUCAAGCUAGGUGAGUACCUAGAUGGGUGACCAUUUGGGAAUACCAGGUGCUGUAAG